CCCCAGAUGUUGCUGAACUACAACUCCCAUGAUUCUUUGAAUUACAUAGAUAAUCAGAGAAUCGUGGGAGUUGUAGUUCAGCAACAUCUGGGG
This 93-nucleotide microRNA precursor is filed under the name Pelobates cultripes (western spadefoot toad). Lineage: Eukaryota; Metazoa; Chordata; Amphibia; Anura; Pelobatidae. The record is from RNAcentral.